GUGCUUGCUUUGGCAGCACAUAUAUGAAAACUGGAAUGAUACAGAGAAAAUUAGCAUGGCUCCUAGCACAAGGAUGACAUGUAAAUUCGUGAAGUAUUCCAUAUUUUU
This 108-nucleotide small nuclear RNA is filed under the name Canis lupus familiaris (dog). Lineage: Eukaryota; Metazoa; Chordata; Mammalia; Carnivora; Canidae. The record is from RNAcentral. RNAcentral also lists the same sequence under 1 other name.